AACGAACGCUGGCGGCAUGCCUAACACAUGCAAGUCGAACGAGACCUUCGGGUCUAGUGGCGCACGGGUGCGUAACGCGUGGGAACCUGCCCUUAGGUUCGGAAUAACUCCCCGAAAGGGGUGCUAAUACCGGAUAAUGUCUUCGGACCAAAGAUUUAUCGCCUUUGGAUGGGCCCGCGUUGGAUUAGCUAGUUGGUAGGGUAAAAGCCUACCAAGGCGACGAUCCAUAGCUGGUCUGAGAGGAUGAUCAGCCACACUGGGACUGAGACACGGCCCAGACUCCUACGGGAGGCAGCAGUGGGGAAUAUUGGACACGGGGCGAAAGCCUGAUCCAGCAAUGCCGCGUGAGUGAUGAAGGCCUUAGGGUUGUAAAGCUCUUUUACCCGGGAUGAUAAUGACAGUACCGGGAGAAUAAGCUCCGGCUAACUCCGUG
RNAcentral lists this ribosomal RNA (433 nucleotides) under uncultured bacterium. RNAcentral describes it as "partial 16S ribosomal RNA". It matches the Rfam family "Bacterial small subunit ribosomal RNA", at positions 29 to 507 of the family's 1533-position model. The record is from RNAcentral.